This 179-nucleotide non-coding RNA is filed under the name SAR324 cluster bacterium. RNAcentral's name for it is "6S RNA". It matches the Rfam family "6S / SsrS RNA". From Rfam's summary of the family: E. coli 6S RNA was the first non coding RNA to be sequenced, but its function was unknown until recently. The record is from RNAcentral. Lineage: Bacteria; Deltaproteobacteria.
UUAUCCCUGUAAUUCUCGUGAGGUACUGACUUUUGCACCUUUUUUAUUACUUCGGGGUUUGUCCCUGAGGACGGUGUGCAGGCCUUUCUCGUAAAAGGAAGCCUAAUGUCUUUACACGUUACCCCACCUGGUUUAACCAGGUACAAAAGUAACAAUACACACGGCUUUAUGGGGAUAUC